ACGGGCACUGCAGCGCCGGUUGCCUGGCAGCAGGAACGCGCAUCCUCUUCUCCAUGACAAACAUCAUCUCCAUCGACCCAGAGCACCUCCCGUUUCAAAUGUCUGCCCAAGCCAGAAAGCUUAGCAAGGGGAAAUGUAGCUCAUCAAACUGAAACGAUGAAAUCUCGUUUCUUCACUGGGAUAGUGCUGGGACCCUUGCAUUGAUCAGCUGCCCCAUAGGUGAAUUCAUCCAGCACCACAAGGAGAAUUCCGUGUGCUUGGCCAUUCAGCCCGGAUUAGCACUAAGAGAACAAGCUCCCUUAAAGAAACACGUGCUAAUUACAUGAAUAUUUAGCUUUGUACAAAACUGUCAGAGGAAAAAGUCAUCUGAACUGCUGUCCCAUGUGGUUUUCCUGGAGUGCAUGUCCUUCACACCAGGAAUUUGUGGUUCUCCUACAGUGCACACCCCACAAGGAUACAAACACACAAGGGUCUUUUGAAGAACAGCAGUUGUUGGUCAGUUGAAAGCUUUGUCCUGGACAGCAGGGUGCAAGGGUGGCAGUGUUGAGGAGCACCAGACUUCACGGAAGGUGGCAUCUAUGCACAAUGGCACCCAGGAGCCUUAGCUCAUCAAAGGAAAGAAAAAGAAGCCUUUGCAGAAUCUGAAGAUAUUGUAAUACAUUCUGCAGUUUCCUGGA
This is a long non-coding RNA of Cyanistes caeruleus (blue tit), 677 nucleotides long. RefSeq lists it as uncharacterized. Lineage: Eukaryota; Metazoa; Chordata; Aves; Passeriformes; Paridae. The record is from RefSeq and is a predicted model, not a curated record.